This is an RNA transcript of Sebastes umbrosus (honeycomb rockfish), 1385 nucleotides long. It is a transcript of the gene named B-cell receptor CD22-like, with no coding region annotated. NCBI's taxonomy places the organism in Eukaryota, Metazoa, Chordata, Actinopteri, Perciformes, Sebastidae. The transcript is spliced from 2 exons. The record is from RefSeq and is a predicted model, not a curated record.
UCAUGUGGUCUCUUGCCACCCUCUUGAAAUGGUGAGUCCCAACAAUUCUAAUGUAAAACUCAGUGAAUUACAUUUCUCCAUACCUCUGUUCACUUUGGCAUGAAGCAGAAACAUCACAACUUGAUUUACAGUAUAAACCCAUUUUUAAAACCAGCCGUUAGAGAGUCCCCAACAAAGAAGUAAAAAUACAAGAAAAACGUGACUUAGAAUAAGUCUUAAGCUCAGUUCUAGUUAAGAUAAAACUACAGUAAAGCAGUCUGAGUUAUGCCCGCACGCUCCCCAACCCCCAAAACAAGUUGGUACUAUGAGAUUUAUUCUCUCACUGAUUUAACGUGGGAUAACAUGAGACUAUAGUUUUGAGAAAUGCAGCUUCACACGCUGAAGCACCUUCACUACAAAUGAACGUCUGUUCUCUGAUGUUGUUGUGGGUCUGAUUGUGGUUCCUGAUGUGCUCUGUGUUACAGUGAUAAAGGGUCAGGAUGGCUGGGGAGUGACUUACAGUCCUACUAAGAUCUGUGCCUUAAAAGGAUCGACUGUGAACAUACGCUGCAGCUACACAUACCCAUCCAGAUGGAAAGGCAGUGAUACUAGAGUUGAGAAAACAUUCUGGUUUACCAAAUGGAAAGAUGGUCAACCUGUGGAUCUGAUGACAGACUCAGAGUAUUCAGGACGUGUGAAUAACAGUUGUAAUGAGAAGAUCUGCACUCUGAGAAUAACAAACCUGACAGAGAGCGACUCAGCUGAGUACAAGUUCAGGUUUAUAACAAACCAACCAGAUGGGAAAUAUGCUGGUGAACCUGGAGUCACUGUGUCUGUCACAGGUCUCACAGUGCAGAUGAAGGGAUCGUCUUCUAAUUGGCUGGAGUGUCACAGCAGUUGUCUUCUACCUGAUCAUCCUUCAUACAUCUGGUACAAGAACGGACAAGAAGUUCAGGCAGAAACAUCUUCUUCUUAUUCAGGCUUCAGUUAUGAAGACAACUACUUCUGUGCUGUAAAAGGAUAUGAGAACUUCCCGUCUCCUCUAGUGUGUGAGUUUACUGUCCCAAAACUGCAUAAAACUCCUAAAAUCUCUGUGAAUUACGACUGUGAAUGUGAAUCAAGUAGAGCUGAAGGAAAUAUAGUUAUGAUCAGUAAAUCUUUUAUUGAAGCUGAUUUAAGCUGUUUAUUAUCUUUAAAGAGGACCGUCACUCAUCCAUUUAUCAGACAACCUUCAAAGUCUCACAGUUUACUGUAUAACUCAAAUACCAUAUGAGUGACACACCCUUAACCUAGAAUAAUCUCUGUUUUUUUUCUAUUUUGUUUUUAUUUUUUCUCUUUUUUUACUGCAAAAUAACCCAGAUAUUUACCUCAAAAUGUAUCAAAAAUUACGUUCUAAACAUUAUUUA